RNAcentral lists this long non-coding RNA (633 nucleotides) under Apteryx rowi (Okarito brown kiwi). RNAcentral's name for it is "lncRNA (ENSARWG00000003159.1)". Lineage: Eukaryota; Metazoa; Chordata; Aves; Apterygiformes; Apterygidae. The record is from RNAcentral.
AGUAAAGAGCCAACAGAAAUUGCUUUGAAUCCAUUCCUUCAAAUGUGGUAAAGAUACUUUAUUCCAACAGGAGCUGAAUUUCAGAUUAAACGUGCAACUGAGGUUGGUAAGAAUACUUUGACUUACUGGAAGUAAGAGGUAUUUAUCACAGCUGCUGUUCUGGUGAAAUGAUUUGCUCUGGAGGUUUCACACGAACCCUGAAGACAUACUUCUGGACCUUCUUCCUCCAAAAAAAUUCAGCCACGAUUCAUCCUUAGGAGGAGCCAAGUCCAAACUCCAAAGACCGGGAGCUGACUUAAAGUUCUUUACUGGAGUCUGCAUGCUUUGUAAAAGACUGUGCAGAAUCAGCUGUAUUUCCAGAAGCAGCAAAGGACAAAGUGAAUUUUUAGUUACAGUCUACAUAACAGAAUUUUUGUAGGUGACAUAACAUGAUCACAAAAUAACUUAAAACUAUGUUUACAGUGUGCACUCAAAACAUAUUCCUGUGUUGAUGAUACAUUUGGAAAAUGAAUAGAAUUUAGAUCACUUUCUUUUUGAAGCACUUACUCCUAAAGUGCUUUGACAAAUUCAUUUGACUAAAUGAUAUAAUACAGAUGCAAGGAGGCAAUGCAAGACUUCUUCAGAUGAUUUUAC